RNAcentral lists this ribosomal RNA (311 nucleotides) under uncultured fungus. RNAcentral describes it as "partial small subunit ribosomal RNA". The stretch from base 180 to 311 matches the Rfam family "Eukaryotic small subunit ribosomal RNA", at positions 737 to 864 of the family's 1831-position model. Lineage: Eukaryota; Fungi. The record is from RNAcentral.
GGGUUGUCUGCUGUGCUAUCUUUGUUGGGUGGAUUCCUUCGGGAUUUCAUCUGGUAUCGUGUGUGUGGCAGGCUAUUAUUCUUAUUAUAGUCCUUUGUUAUUUUAGCAUUGAGAACUGAGUAUGGAUCUCCUAUUUUCUGGUAAUACGGGUCGGUGUCAGCAAUGUCGUCGGCCAAAUACGUGUUCCAGAUUGUUUACUUUGAAAAAAUUAGAGUGUUUAAAGCAGGUGUUAUUUGCAUCAUGAAUACAUUAGCAUGGGAUAAUAGAAUAUGACUUUUGGUCUUAUUUUGUUGGUUUCUAGGGCCGAGGUA